UGCCUGGUAGUGGGGGACAACGCUCGGAAACGGACGCUAAUACCGCAUACGUCCUACGGGAGAAAGCAGGGGACCUUCGGGCCUUGCGCUAUCAGAUGAGCCUAGGUCGGAUUAGCUAGUUGGUGAGGUAAUGGCUCACCAAGGCGACGAUCCGUAACUGGUCUGAGAGGAUGAUCAGUCACACUGGAACUGAGACACGGUCCAGACUCCUACGGGAGGCAGCAGUGGGGAAUAUUGGACAAUGGGCGAAAGCCUGAUCCAGCCAUGCCGCGUGUGUGAAGAAGGUCUUCGGAUUGUAAAGCACUUUAAGUUGGGAGGAAGGGCAGUAAAUUAAUACUUUGCUGUUUUGACGUUACCGACAGAAUAAGCACCGGCUAACUCUGUGCCAGCAGCCGCGGUAAUACAGAGGGUGCAAGCGUUAAUCGGAAUUACUGGGCGUAAAGCGCGCGUAGGUGGUUUGUUAAGUUGGAUGUGAAAUCCCCGGGCUCAACCUGGGAACUGCAUUCAAAACUGACAAGCUAGAGUAUGGUAGAGGGUGGUGGAAUUUCCUGUGUAGCGGUGAAAUGCGUAGAUAUAGUNGGGUCCANAAUGGGGCGAAAGGCGACUACCUGGACUGAUACUGACACUGAGGUGCGAAAGCGUGGGGAGCAAAUAGGAUAAAAUACCCUGGUAGUCCACGCCGUAAACGAUGUCCUCUAGCCGUUGGGAGUCUUGAACUCUUAGUGGCGCAGCUAACGCAUUAAGUUGACCGCCUGGGGAGUACGGCCGCAAGGUUAAAACUCAAAUGAAUUGACGGGGGCCCGCACAAGCGGUGGAGCAUGUGGUUUAAUUCGAUGCAACGCGAAGAACCUUACCUGGUCUUGACAUAUCUAGAAUCCUGCAGAGAUGCGGGAGUGCCUUCGGGAAUUAGAAUACAGGUGCUGCAUGGCUGUCGUCAGCUCGUGUCGUGAGAUGUUGGGUUAAGUCCCGCAACGAGCGCAACCCUUGUCCUUAGUUACCAGCGGGUUAAGCCGGGAACUCUAAGGAUACUGCCAGUGACAAACUGGAGGAAGGCGGGGACGACGUCAAGUCAUCAUGGCCCUUACAACCAGGGCUACACACGUGCUACAAUGGUUAAGUACAGAGGGCAGCUACACAGCGAUGUGAUGCGAAUCUCAAAAANCCUAUCGUAGUCCAGAUUGGAGUCUGCAACUCGACUCCAUGAAGUAGGAAUCGCUAAGUAAUCGCGGAUCAAAAUGCCGCGGUGAAUACGUUCCCCGGGGCCUUUGUACACACCAGCCCCGUCACACCAUGGG
Molecule: ribosomal RNA, 1295 nt
Filed under: uncultured bacterium
Lineage: Bacteria
Description: partial 16S ribosomal RNA
Rfam family: Bacterial small subunit ribosomal RNA
Source: RNAcentral